CCUACGGGGGGCAGCAGUGGGGAAUAUUGCACAAUGGGCGCAAGCCUGAUGCAGCCAUGCCGCGUGUGUGAAGAAGGCCUUCGGGUUGUAAAGCACUUUCAGCGGGGAGGAAGGCGUUAAGGUUAAUAACCUUGUCGAUUGACGUUACCCGCAGAAGAAGCACCGGCUAACUCCGUGCCAGCAGCCGCGGUAAUACGGAGGGUGCAAGCGUUAAUCGGAAUUACUGGGCGUAAAGCGCACGCAGGCGGUCUGUCAAGUCGGAUGUGAAAUCCCCGGGCUCAACCUGGGAACUGCAUUCGAAACUGGCAGGCUAGAGUCUUGUAGAGGGGGGGAGAAUUCCAGGUGUAGCGGUGAAAUGCGUAGAGAUCUGGAGGAAUACCGGGGGCGAAGGCGGCCCCCUGGACAAAGACUGACGCUCAGGUGCGAAAGCGUGGGGAGCAAACAGGAUUAGAACCCCAGUAGUC
This 464-nucleotide ribosomal RNA is filed under the name uncultured Klebsiella sp. RNAcentral's name for it is "bacterial SSU rRNA". It matches the Rfam family "Bacterial small subunit ribosomal RNA", at positions 338 to 795 of the family's 1533-position model. Lineage: Bacteria; Pseudomonadati; Pseudomonadota; Gammaproteobacteria; Enterobacterales; Enterobacteriaceae. The record is from RNAcentral.